RNAcentral lists this small nuclear RNA (165 nucleotides) under Crocodylus porosus (Australian saltwater crocodile). RNAcentral describes it as "U2 spliceosomal RNA (ENSCPRG00005014460.1)". It matches the Rfam family "U2 spliceosomal RNA". Rfam says of the family: U2 is a small nuclear RNA (snRNA) component of the spliceosome (involved in pre-mRNA splicing). Complementary binding between U2 snRNA (in an area lying towards the 5' end but 3' to hairpin I) and the branchpoint sequence (BPS) of the intron results the bulging out of an unpaired adenosine, on the BPS, which initiates a nucleophilic attack at the intronic 5' splice site, thus starting the first of two transesterification reactions that mediate splicing. The record is from Rfam by way of RNAcentral. Lineage: Eukaryota; Metazoa; Chordata; Crocodylia; Crocodylidae.
AUAGCUUUUUAAUUUGUUCUUAUCAAUUUAAUAUUUGAUAUGUCCUCAAUGUGAAGACUUUAUAAUAAAUGUUGUUGGGGGACUGGGAUGUGGACUCAAAGCUUGCUCCAUCCACUCUACACAUCAAUCUGGCAUUGCAAUGUCUCCAGGAGCAGUGCACCUCUC